Molecule: unclassified non-coding RNA, 311 nt
Filed under: plant metagenome
Description: partial contains 5.8S ribosomal RNA, internal transcribed spacer 2, and large subunit ribosomal RNA
Rfam family: 5.8S ribosomal RNA (bases 1-105)
Source: RNAcentral
GAAAUGCGAUAAGUAAUGUGAAUUGCAGAAUUCCGUGAAUCAUCGAAUCUUUGAACGCACAUUGCGCCCUCUGGCAUUCCGGGGGGCAUGCCUGUCCGAGCGUCAUUACGCACCCUCAAGCCCGGCUUGUGUGAUGGGCCCCGGCGUCUCGUUCGCGAGACGGGCCCGAAAGGCAGCGGCGGCGUCGACCCGAUGAGCCGAGCGUAUGGGGACUUCUGUCACACGUUCGCGGUGCGGACCGGCGCCUGCUUGACUUUUCUGAUUAUCCAGGUUGACCUCGGAUCAGGUAGGGAUACCCGCUGAACUUAAGC